ACAACGAAGAGUUUGAUCCUGGCUCAGGAUGAACGCUAGCGACAGGCCUAACACAUGCAAGUCGAGGGGUAACAGGGGAGCUUGCUUCCGCUGACGACCGGCGCACGGGUGAGUAACGCGUAUGCAACCUACCUGUAACAGGGGGAUAGCUCCCUGAAAGGGGAAUUAACACCGCAUAAGACUACGGCAUCACAUGGUGCAGUGGUAAAAUAUUUAUAGGUUACAGAUGGGCAUGCGUGACAUUAGCUAGUUGGCGGGGUAACGGCCCACCAAGGCUACGAUGUCUAGGGGUUCUGAGAGGAAGGUCCCCCACACUGGUACUGAGACACGGACCAGACUCCUACGGGAGGCAGCAGUGAGGAAUAUUGGUCAAUGGGCGCAAGCCUGAACCAGCCAUGUCGCGUGCAGGAAG
This 412-nucleotide non-coding RNA is filed under the name Alkalitalea saponilacus. RNAcentral's name for it is "Bacteroidales bacterium SC/BZ-SP2 Bacterial small subunit ribosomal RNA". It matches the Rfam family "Bacterial small subunit ribosomal RNA", at positions 1 to 410 of the family's 1533-position model. Lineage: Bacteria; Pseudomonadati; Bacteroidota; Bacteroidia; Marinilabiliales; Marinilabiliaceae. The record is from Rfam by way of RNAcentral.